RNAcentral lists this ribosomal RNA (172 nucleotides) under uncultured bacterium. RNAcentral describes it as "partial 16S ribosomal RNA". It matches the Rfam family "Bacterial small subunit ribosomal RNA", at positions 282 to 461 of the family's 1533-position model. The record is from RNAcentral.
CGCCCCGCCCGCCGCGCGCGGCGGGCGGGGCGGGGGCACGGGGGGCCCCAUACGGGAGGCAGCAGUGGGGAAUAUUGGACAAUGGGCGAAAGCCUGAUCCAGCCAUGCCGCGUGUGUGAAGAAGGUCUUCGGAUUGUAAAGCACUUUAAGUUGGGAGGAAGGGCAGUAAGUU